AGUAAUACUUCUGAUACCAGUCU
This 23-nucleotide small nuclear RNA is filed under the name Arabidopsis thaliana (thale cress). RNAcentral describes it as "snRNA_03364". Lineage: Eukaryota; Viridiplantae; Streptophyta; Magnoliopsida; Brassicales; Brassicaceae. The record is from RNAcentral.